AUAGCAACUGCCUGGUAGGAAAGAGGGAAACAUCACUAGAGCACUGCAGGAGGCUGCAGGCCAGGCCAAUCGGAAGGGGACAGCGCAUACAGGACAGCAUGGCAAUGGAUAGAGGAUCAGGAGACAAGGGAAAGGCAAUGCAUGGGGCACUCACUGGCAAAGCCAUAAAAGCAGGGUUGAAGCCUUCUUUAUUAUUAACAACGCUACCAGCAAAUUGCAACUUAAACAUCCUAAAUAAUCUCUUCACGGAGACAAGCAAACAUUUACGUCCACAUCUUGUCCAGGGGCUUUUGAAAUAGAAAGCAAAAAACAAAGAAGCAAAAAGCCACCGUGGGCAAACAGAUGCUGUGUGAAGGCAGAUCGAUUGCUGCUCCUACAACAGCCAGAGCAGCAACCAGCCCUUGUGAACUCAGCUGUGGUGGUAUUGCUGGGAUGCAGACAGGUGACAUUAUUUCUUCAGCAUGAUUUGGGCAGCCCCAGAGAUACUGUUCCCUGCCACAAUCAGAUCAGGCUGCCCCUCCAGAAAGUCUGGCACACAGAGCAAAUAUUUACUAACUUACAGUAACACAUGACCUAUCCGUGAAGUGAGGGGGGAUGAACACGCACAGAAUUAUUUAAGUAAUAUUGGUGAAUCCAGAUUUCAGUUAGAGGGAAUUCACACUAGACCAACUAAAUAGUAUGUCAAUUCCCUCUAAUUAUAUUCCUGUAACCUGCCCAGUAAUUAUACUUAACGUGUCUAAAUCAAACUGGCACAUUACCUGAGAAAUAAUUGGAUUUCUGUGCAACUGGUUAAUGAUUCUGAAAGGUACCCUUGGAGAUCAACAUUCUCAGUGUGUUCAGGCCUGACACUAGGCCCCAGUGUGCUCUGGAUGUAGAUCUCUGGCUACCUCGGCCCUGAUAAGUUAAAUGUGCCAGGUCUCUGGUGCUGAGACCAACUGGCAUGGGAGAACUCAUAGCCAUUAUUAUAAACUUUCUUAGCUUCUAAAACCGGGUGACUGCUUCCAAACUUUCUACUGGAAACAAUCCCUGGCCCUUGCAGAAUGUCAGAUUUGGGCCUGGGAGUUGCUCAGGGGAGCACUGGUUGGCCUGCCUUCAGCAGAGCCAGGGCCCUUCUUGGAGCUCCUGUACCCACAGCAGCUCCUUGGCACUGUUUGUUUGAGGCUACAUCAACACUUGCAGAGAAUACCUUCAGGCCUCACUGUCAAGAAUAACAUUCCCCAUUCUGUAGAGAUCCUUUGGAGGUCUUUAGUGAGGCUGCAGUAGCAGGAUGAUUUGCUAAAGCUGUCCCAUGCAUAUAUUUGAGUCCUCCAGAGGCAGAUGAGGGUUUACCCGACCCAAGAAGCAGCCAUUAGAUUACUGGGGACUAGCACAAGACAUCCCAAACCACACAAGCCAUUGUACUUCUCACUUCCUCUAGUCAAGUAAACACUGUGAAAGCAGUCUCCAAGCAGCGAGUGCAGCACACCCUGUUUAAUUGGAGCCUCAUAAUACUGGUCUGUAUUUCCUUGGUUUCUCAGAGGCAGAAUUUCAAAAUAGCACCUUGCCUUGUGAAUCAACCCCAUAACACCAGUGAGCAUUGAAACCAUUAGAUUUCAAAUGUACCAUAACGUCAGAGAGACAUAACAGCAGUAAUAGUGGCUGGAAGGGAUGACUGCAUCAUCUGUAAUUCUUCAGCAAAGGUACAAGUAAAAAAAAACAAAUCCGAUGGAGAGAUACUCACUUGGCCUGCACUUAUACCACACGAGGAGGUAUUUGCCUGUUCCAGGGCACGGAUCUAUGCCAAACAGCCGGCUAUUGACAAGGAACUGGCAGCUCCGUCUAUCCUGGCACUCGUCCAGCAUCUUCUGCAGCAGGGGAUGCACACAAACAUAAAACAGAAAAACAAAAGCACUUCAGCACCUCCCUAAAGAAUCAUCAAAUACAGGCAAGCUGAAGAACAGCACGGCAGUUCCUGUCUCCUUAACCAGGCCCAGCAAUGACAAUACGACCAGCUUAAAGCAAUGGGUACCGCAGGAGCUAUGCAGCGAAGGAGAGAACUAAAAUUUGCACUAUUUUAACAAGCAUGAUAUGUUUUCCUUCCAUGCAUGCAAAAAGGCAGCUUUGCAUUAGGCUGGCCACAGAGAUUUUGGAAGACUCUCAUGCAGUUUAAUCAUAGUAUUAGGCUGCACCAGCAGCGUGUCCCUGGAAAAACAGUGUGGAGGAGAUGGGUCAGCCCUGACAAUUAACAGCAGAGGCCCAAACAAUGCCCACACCAUUCUGCUUUGGCUUCCUCUGGAGAUUCACAGUUUCAACCACAGGUUUCAGAAGAGCUCUCUUUUUGGUUAUAUGAAAGUUUUGGCAAUAGCGGGUGUUUCAAUAAUUAGUCGUUCUGGUGGGAAUGCUGGUACAUAGGCAAGUUGUCAGUUUUUAAUAAAGCUCACUCUCCUCCCCGUAA
This is a long non-coding RNA of Numida meleagris (helmeted guineafowl), 2434 nucleotides long. RefSeq lists it as uncharacterized. The record is from RefSeq and is a predicted model, not a curated record. The transcript is spliced from 2 exons. NCBI's taxonomy places the organism in Eukaryota, Metazoa, Chordata, Aves, Galliformes, Numididae.